UGCAGUCGAGCGCAGGAAGCAAGCAGAUCCCCUUCGGGGGUGACGCUUGUGGAAUGAGCGGCGGACGGGUGAGUAACACGUGGGCAACCUGCCUGUAAGACUGGGAUAACCCCGGGAAACCGGGGCUAAUACCGGAUAAUACUUUUCUUUGCAUAAAGGAAAGUUGAAAGGCGGUUUCGGCUGCCACUUACAGAUGGGCCCGCGGCGCAUUAGCUAGUUGGUGAGGUAACGGCUCACCAAGGCGACGAUGCGUAGCCGACCUGAGAGGGUGAUCGGCCACACUGGGACUGAGACACGGCCCAGACUCCUACGGGAGGCAGCAGUAGGGAAUCUUCCGCAAUGGACGAAAGUCUGACGGAGCAACGCCGCGUGAGUGAUGAAGGUUUUCGGAUCGUAAAACUCUGUUGUUAGGGAAGAACAAGUCGGGUAGUAACUGACCCGGCCUUGACGGUACCUAACCAGAAAGCCCCGGCUAACUACGUGCCAGCAGCCGCGGUAAUACGUAGGGGGCAAGCGUUGUCCGGAAUUAUUGGGCGUAAAGCGCUCGCAGGCGGUCCUUUAAGUCUGAUGUGAAAUCUCGCGGCUCAACCGCGAACGGUCAUUGGAAACUGGAGGACUUGAGUACAGAAGAGGAGAGUGGAAUUCCACGUGUAGCGGUGAAAUGCGUAGAGAUGUGGAGGAACACCAGUGGCGAAGGCGACUCUCUGGUCUGUAACUGACGCUGAGGAGCGAAAGCGUGGGGAGCGAACAGGAUUAGAUACCCUGGUAGUCCACGCCGUAAACGAUGAGUGCUAGGUGUUAGGGGGUUUCCGCCCCUUAGUGCUGAAGUUAACGCAUUAAGCACUCCGCCUGGGGAGUACGGCCGCAAGGCUGAAACUCAAAAGAAUUGACGGGGGCCCGCACAGCGGUGGAGCAUGUGGUUUAAUUCG
This 929-nucleotide ribosomal RNA is filed under the name Oceanobacillus picturae. Its description in RNAcentral is "bacterial SSU rRNA". It matches the Rfam family "Bacterial small subunit ribosomal RNA", at positions 38 to 953 of the family's 1533-position model. The record is from RNAcentral. Lineage: Bacteria; Bacillati; Bacillota; Bacilli; Caryophanales; Bacillaceae.